CCUUUUGAGACAAAGGAUCCACUCCACGUCCAACCACACCUAAGGAAAUGUUUUGAAGGAAUUGCCAAGCUCACUUUUAAUCAUGAGAAAGAAAUUACCCACAUGGAGUCAGCAGAAAAUGAAAAAGUAGAGCUCGUGCUGCGAAUAAUUCCAGCAAGUGCCAAGGGGCUAGUUGAAAAAUGGCUUCAUGAGG
This is a non-coding RNA of Podiceps cristatus (great crested grebe), 193 nucleotides long. The record is from Rfam. NCBI's taxonomy places the organism in Eukaryota, Metazoa, Chordata, Aves, Podicipediformes, Podicipedidae.